AGUGAACGCUGGCGGCAGGCCUAAUACAUGCAAGUCGAACGGCAGCACAGCAGAGCUUGCUCUGUGGGUGGCGAGUGGCGGACGGGUGAGGAAUACAUGGGAAUCUGCCCAGUCGUGGGGGAUAACGUAGGGAAACUUACGCUAAUACCGCAUGCGCCCUUCGGGGGAAAGCCGGGGACCUUCGGGCCUGGCGCGAUUGGAUGAGCCCAUGUCGGAUUAGCUAGUUGGCGGGGUAAUGGCCCACCAAGGCGACGAUCCGUAGCUGGUCUGAGAGGAUGAUCAGCCACACUGGAACUGAGACACGGUCCAGACUCCUACGGGAGGCAGCAGUAGGGAAUAUUGGACAAUGGGCGCAAGCCUGAUCCAGCCAUGCCGCGUGAGUGAAGAAGGCCCUCGGGUCGUAAAGCUCUUUUGUCCGGAAAGAAAAGCGCCGGGUUAAUACCCUAGUGUCCUGACGGUACCGGAAGAAUAAGCACCGGUAACUUCGUGCCAGC
This 494-nucleotide ribosomal RNA is filed under the name uncultured bacterium. RNAcentral describes it as "bacterial SSU rRNA". It matches the Rfam family "Bacterial small subunit ribosomal RNA", at positions 29 to 512 of the family's 1533-position model. The record is from RNAcentral.